This 645-nucleotide ribosomal RNA is filed under the name Staphylococcus aureus. RNAcentral describes it as "partial 23S ribosomal RNA". It matches the Rfam family "Bacterial large subunit ribosomal RNA", at positions 916 to 1561 of the family's 2925-position model. Lineage: Bacteria; Bacillati; Bacillota; Bacilli; Caryophanales; Staphylococcaceae. The record is from RNAcentral.
GGACGAGGGGCCCCUCUCGGGUUACCGAAUUCAGACAAACUCCGAAUGCCAAUUAAUUUAACUUGGGAGUCAGAACAUGGGUGAUAAGGUCCGUGUUCGAAAGGGAAACAGCCCAGACCACCAGCUAAGGUCCCAAAAUAUAUGUUAAGUGGAAAAGGAUGUGGCGUUGCCCAGACAACUAGGAUGUUGGCUUAGAAGCAGCCAUCAUUUAAAGAGUGCGUAAUAGCUCACUAGUCGAGUGACACUGCGCCGAAAAUGUACCGGGGCUAAACAUAUUACCGAAGCUGUGGAUUGUCCUUUGGACAAUGGUAGGAGAGCGUUCUAAGGGCGUUGAAGCAUGAUCGUAAGGACAUGUGGAGCGCUUAGAAGUGAGAAUGCCGGUGUGAGUAGCGAAAGACGGGUGAGAAUCCCGUCCACCGAUUGACUAAGGUUUCCAGAGGAAGGCUCGUCCGCUCUGGGUUAGUCGGGUCCUAAGCUGAGGCCGACAGGCGUAGGCGAUGGAUAACAGGUUGAUAUUCCUGUACCACCUAUAAUCGUUUUAAUCGAUGGGGGGACGCAGUAGGAUAGGCGAAGCGUGCGAUUGGAUUGCACGUCUAAGCAGUAAGGCUGAGUAUUAGGCAAAUCCGGUACUCGUUAAGGCUGAGC